UACAGAGGUCUCAAGCGUUGUUCGGAUUCAUUGGGCGUAAAGGGCGCGUAGGCGGCGGGGUCAGUCGGGUGUGAAAUCUUGGGGCUUAACCCCGAAACGGCACUCGAAACUGCCCGGCUGGAGGGCCGGAGAGGAGAUCGGAAUUCACGGUGUAGCAGUGAAAUGCGUAGAGAUCGUGAGGAAGACCCGUGGCGAAGGCGGAUCUCUGGACGGCUAAAACUGACGCUGAGGCGCGAAAGCCAGGGGAGCAAACGGG
RNAcentral lists this ribosomal RNA (256 nucleotides) under uncultured bacterium. RNAcentral's name for it is "partial 16S ribosomal RNA". It matches the Rfam family "Bacterial small subunit ribosomal RNA", at positions 524 to 776 of the family's 1533-position model. The record is from RNAcentral.